Molecule: ribosomal RNA, 234 nt
Filed under: uncultured bacterium
Lineage: Bacteria
Description: partial 16S ribosomal RNA
Rfam family: Bacterial small subunit ribosomal RNA
Source: RNAcentral
AAACGGGUGCGGAACACGUACGCAACCUUCCCAAAACUGAUGAAUAGCCUUCCGAAAGGAAGAUUAAUACAUCGUAAGAUAACGAGGUGGCAUCACUUUGUUAUUAUAGCUCCGGCGGUUUUGGAUGGGCGUGCGCCUGAUUAGGUAGUUGGCGGGGUAACGGCCCACCAAGCCUCCGAUCAGUAACUGGUGUGAGAGCACGACCAGUCACACGGGCACUGAGACACGGGCCCG